GUGCUUGCUUCGGCACAUACACUAAAAUUAGAACCAUACAGAGACGAUUAACAUGGCCCUAUGCAAGAAUGACACCCACAUUCGUGAGACAGUCCGUAUUUUU
Molecule: small nuclear RNA, 103 nt
Organism: Nannospalax galili (Upper Galilee mountains blind mole rat)
Lineage: Eukaryota; Metazoa; Chordata; Mammalia; Rodentia; Spalacidae
Source: Ensembl